Molecule: ribosomal RNA, 495 nt
Filed under: uncultured bacterium
Lineage: Bacteria
Description: partial 16S ribosomal RNA
Rfam family: Bacterial small subunit ribosomal RNA
Source: RNAcentral
GACGAACGCUGGCGGCGUGCCUAAUACAUGCAAGUAGAACGCUGAAGGAGGAGCUUGCUUCUCUGGAUGAGUUGCGAACGGGUGAGUAACGCGUAGGUAACCUGCCUGGUAGCGGGGGAUAACUAUUGGAAACGAUAGCUAAUACCGCAUAAGAGUAGAUGUUGCAUGACAUUUGCUUAAAAGGUGCAAUUGCAUCACUACCAGAUGGACCUGCGUUGUAUUAGCUAGUUGGUGGGGUAACGGCUCACCAAGGCGACGAUACAUAGCCGACCUGAGAGGGGGAUCGGCCACACUGGGACUGAGACACGGCCCAGACUCCUACGGGAGGCAGCAGUAGGGAAUCUUCGGCAAUGGACGGAAGUCUGACCGAGCAACGCCGCGUGAGUGAAGAAGGUUUUCGGAUCGUAAAGCUCUGUUGUAAGAGAAGAACGAGCGUGAGAGUGGAAAGUUCACACUGUGACGGUAUCUUACCAGAAAGGGACGGCUAACUACGUG